RNAcentral lists this ribosomal RNA (840 nucleotides) under Xanthoparmelia chlorochroa. RNAcentral's name for it is "eukaryotic LSU rRNA". It matches the Rfam family "Eukaryotic large subunit ribosomal RNA", at positions 81 to 936 of the family's 3401-position model. The record is from RNAcentral. Lineage: Eukaryota; Fungi; Ascomycota; Lecanoromycetes; Lecanorales; Parmeliaceae.
CAGUAACGGCGAGUGAAGCGGCAACAGCUCAAAUUUGAAAUCUGGCUCCUUCGGGGUCCGAAUUGUAAUUUGUAGAGAGUGCUUCGGGCGAGACCUCGGUCUAAGUCCAUUGGAACAUGGUGUCAUAGAGGGUGAGAAUCCCGUAUGCGACCGUGGCUCGAGCCCAUGUGAAGCCUCUUCGACGAGUCGAGUUGUUUGGGAAUGCAGCUCAAAACGGGUGGUAAAUUUCAUCUAAAGCUAAAUACUGGCUGGAGACCGAUAGCGCACAAGUAGAGUGAUCGAAAGAUGAAAAGCACUUUGGAAAGAGAGUCAAACAGUACGUGAAAUUGUUGAAAGGGAAGCGCUUGCAACCAGACCUGCCCGUAGGCGAUCAGCCGCUGUUCUCAGCGGUGCACUCGCUCUGCGAUCAGGCCAGCAUCGGUUUCGGCGGUCGGAUAAAGGCCUUGGGAAUGUAGCUUCCCUUCGGGGAAGUCUUAUAGCCCUCGGUGCAAUGCGGCCAGCCGGGACCGAGGACCGCGCUUCGGCUAGGAUGCUGGCGUAAUGGUUGUAAGCGACCCGUCUUGAAACACGGACCAAGGAGUCUAACAUCUAUGCGAGUGUUUGGGUGGCAAACCCAUACGCGGAAUGAAAGUGAACGGAGGUGAGAACCCUUAAGGGCGCAUCAUCGACCGAUCCAGAUGUCUUCGGAUGGAUUUGAGUAUGAGCAUAGCUGUUGGGACCCGAAAGAUGGUGAACUAUGCCUGAAUAGGGUGAAGCCAGAGGAAACUCUGGUGGAGGCUCGCAGCGGUUCUGACGUGCAAAUCGAUCGUCAAAUUUGGGUAUAGGGGCGAAAGACUAAUC